Molecule: long non-coding RNA, 545 nt
Filed under: Bos taurus (domestic cattle)
Lineage: Eukaryota; Metazoa; Chordata; Mammalia; Artiodactyla; Bovidae
Description: long non-coding RNA NONBTAT024961
Source: RNAcentral
ACCUUAGUCCUACGCAAUUAGUGUCUCUAAUUCAAAAUAAAGUCUGAAAACCAUGGGCUAGAGAAUUCAGUGUUCACGAUAUCUAAAAAUCCAUACAUGUGUACGUCCCUGAACCUUAGAGGUCAUUGAGCUAACAGUAUUUUUUUUUUUACUUUUAAUAGGAUUGAAAUUAUGUUUUACACUAUAUCACAGAUAUAGAGCUGUCCCCACUGUAAUGGUCACCGUUACAGCAAAGGUGCCCUUUCUCCCACUGCUGGCGAGCACCUGGGCCUUUGCCUCUGCCUCUCCAGGUUCACACAGCUAGCCUUGGCCCUUCUUUUCUUGAAUCAAUGUAAGUUACUCUUCCGUGCAAUCCCUGAGCAACUGGCAUCAUUCUAAAUCUACUGAUGCUAGGGAUAUAACAUUUUUGGAUUGAAUAGUUUUUAUACUAUUGAUGCUUCUACCAAACAUGUAACUUUUAUAACCUGGGUGAAAAGAUCUUUUUUCCCAGUGGUAUCUUUUCUGGUCUCAGCCCUUAUAUAUCACCUAAAUAUCUGAAUCUUUCA